RNAcentral lists this unclassified non-coding RNA (253 nucleotides) under uncultured Caryophanales bacterium. RNAcentral's name for it is "uncultured Bacillales bacterium contains 16S-23S intergenic spacer region". It matches the Rfam family "Bacterial small subunit ribosomal RNA", at positions 524 to 776 of the family's 1533-position model. The record is from RNAcentral. Lineage: Bacteria; Bacillati; Bacillota; Bacilli; Caryophanales.
UACGUAGGUGGCAAGCGUUGUCCGGAAUUAUUGGGCGUAAAGCGCGCGCAGGCGGCCUCUUAAGUCUGAUGUGAAAGCCACCGGCUCAACCGGGGAGGGCCAUUGGAAACUGGGCGGCUUGAGUAUAGGAGAGACGAGUGGAAUUACACGUGUAGCGGUGAAAUGCGUAGAGAUGUGGCGGAACACCAGUGGCGAAGGCGACUCUUUGGGCGUUAACUGACGCUGAGGCGCGAAAGCGUGGGGAGCAAACAGG